Molecule: ribosomal RNA, 433 nt
Filed under: uncultured bacterium
Lineage: Bacteria
Description: partial 16S ribosomal RNA
Rfam family: Bacterial small subunit ribosomal RNA
Source: RNAcentral
AACGAACGCUGGCAGCAUGCCUAACACAUGCAAGUCGAACGAGACCUUCGGGUCUAGUGGCGCACGGGUGCGUAACGCGUGGGAACCUGCCCUUAGGUUCGGAAUAACUCCCCGAAAGGGGUGCUAAUACCGGAUAAUGUCUUCGGACCAAUGAUUUAUCGCCUUUGGAUGGGCCCGCGUUGGAUUAGCUAGUUGGUAGGGUAAAAGCCUACCAAGGCGACGAUCCAUAGCUGGUCUGAGAGGAUGAUCAGCCACACUGGGACUGAGACACGGCCCAGACUCCUACGGGAGGCAGCAGUGGGGAAUAUUGGACAAUGGGCGAAAGCCUGAUCCAGCAAUGCCGCGUGAGUGAUGAAGGCCUUAGGGUUGUAAAGCUCUUUUACCCGGGAUGAUAAUGACAGUACCGGGAGAAUAAGCGCCGGCUAACUCCGUG